GAUCGCCAAGCUUUUACCCCACAAAAUGAAAUGGAGUGUAUUCUAUUUGAUGAAAGCGCAGAACCAAAGGCCAGUGGUUUCUCUGUUUACAAAGACAUUGGUUGCGGUGGCUUUGCAAGGGUUUAUAAGGGAAUACUUGACAAUGGCACGGUUGCUGUGAAGAAGCUUUUCGAAAUGGUUGAUAUUGAUGACAAGAGAUUCAGGGAAGAGGUUCAUUGUUUGAUGAAGGCAAAGCACCAAAAUAUAGUACGGUUAUUAGGAUAUUGCUCUAACACACAAGGGGAAAUGAUAGAUCACGAGGGAGAGCUUGUCUUGGCAGAUGUCCGACAAGGAUACUCUGCUUUGAAUAUCUACCUCAAGGGAGUCUUGAUAAGCAAAUCACCGGUAGGAUCCUGU
Molecule: ribosomal RNA, 396 nt
Filed under: Triticum aestivum (bread wheat)
Lineage: Eukaryota; Viridiplantae; Streptophyta; Magnoliopsida; Poales; Poaceae
Description: partial small subunit ribosomal RNA
Source: RNAcentral